AGCAACCUGCCUUUCAGAGGGGGAUAACAUUUGGAAACAGAUGCUAACACCGCAUAAGAUUACAGUACCGCAUGAUACAGUGAUCAAAGGAGUAAUCCGCUGAAAGAUGGGCUCGCGUCCGAUUAGAUAGUUGGUGAGGUAACGGCUCACCAAGUCGACGAUCGGUAGCCGGACUGAGAGGUUGAACGGCCACAUUGGGACUGAGACACGGCCCAG
RNAcentral lists this ribosomal RNA (216 nucleotides) under uncultured bacterium. RNAcentral describes it as "partial 16S ribosomal RNA". It matches the Rfam family "Bacterial small subunit ribosomal RNA", at positions 120 to 334 of the family's 1533-position model. The record is from RNAcentral.